UGGCAAUUUAAUUGAGAUGAUAUAUACUGUGAGGUACAUUUUAGAUACGAAUGGUAUUAGAUUUCGAACAAGAUCAUCGAAGAAACUCAACCAACCAGGAAAUUUAGACAUAAUCUAUGCUCUGUAAAUUCAAAUAUUCUCUAAUAUGAAACUAUUUUUAUGUGUUUUGUUAUUCCUAGCUAAUUUAGACAUAAUCUAUGCUCUAUAAAGUCAGAUAUUCUCUAAUAUGAAACUAUUUUUAUGUGUUUUGUUAUUCCUAGCUUUUACGGACUUGGUAACGUUGUUAUGGAAGUAUGACAACUAUCAUGUCCGUGCAAUUUUUAUUGUAUAUUUUGUUAUGUCAUGAUAUUGAAGCUCAGUUUUCUGACUCC
Molecule: long non-coding RNA, 371 nt
Filed under: Citrus maxima (pomelo)
Lineage: Eukaryota; Viridiplantae; Streptophyta; Magnoliopsida; Sapindales; Rutaceae
Description: long non-coding RNA (CMAX_LNC001864)
Source: RNAcentral